CCUGGUGAUUAUUGCGAAAGGGCAAUACCCGAUCCCAUUCCGAACUCGGAAGUCAAGCCUUUCUGCGCCGAUGGUACUUUGUCUUAAGAC
RNAcentral lists this ribosomal RNA (90 nucleotides) under Pelagibacteraceae bacterium TMED237. The record is from RNAcentral. Lineage: Bacteria; Pseudomonadati; Pseudomonadota; Alphaproteobacteria; Candidatus Pelagibacterales; Candidatus Pelagibacteraceae.